RNAcentral lists this ribosomal RNA (227 nucleotides) under Geobacillus sp. DSP4a. RNAcentral describes it as "partial 16S ribosomal RNA". It matches the Rfam family "Bacterial small subunit ribosomal RNA", at positions 1316 to 1533 of the family's 1533-position model. The record is from RNAcentral. Lineage: Bacteria; Bacillati; Bacillota; Bacilli; Caryophanales; Anoxybacillaceae.
CUGCAUGAAGCCGGAAUCGCUAGUAAUCGCGGAUCAGCAUGCCGCGGUGAAUACGUUCCCGGGCCUUGUACACACCGCCCGUCACACCACGAGAGCUUGCAACACCCGAAGUCGGUGAGGUAACCCGCAAGGGAGCCAGCCGCCGAAGGUGGGGCAAGUGAUUGGGGUGAAGUCGUAACAAGGUAGCCGUACCGGAAGGUGCGGCUGGAUCACCUCCUUUCUAAGGA